AGAGUUUGAUCCUGGCUCAGGAUGAACGCUAGCGGCAGGCUUAACGCAUGCAAGUCGAGGGGUAAGGCUCUUUCGGGAGUACACGACCGGCGCACGGGUGCGUAACGCGUAUACAAUCUGCCCAUAGCUGGGAAUAGCCCGGGGAAACUCGGAUUAAUACCCCAUAAUAUCAUUUAAUCGCAUGGUUUUAUGAUUAAAGCUCCGGCGGCUAUGGAUGAGUAUGCGUGACAUUAGCUUGUUGGUGAGGUAACGGCUCACCAAGGCAACGAUGUCUAGGGGGUCCGAGAGGAUGAUCCCCCACACUGGUACUGAGACACGGACCAGACUCCUACGGGAGGCAGCAGUGAGGAAUAUUGGGCAAUGGACGCAAGUCUGACCCAGCCAUGCCGCGUGCAGGAUGAAUGCCCUAGUGGUUGUAAACUGCUUUUGUACGGGAAGAAACCCCCUAACGUGUUAGGGGUUGACGGUACCGUACGAAUAAGCAUCGGCUAACUCCGUGCCAGCAGCCGCGGUAAUACGGAGGAUGCAAGCGUUAUCCGGAUUUAUUGGGUUUAAAGGGUGCGCAGGCGGGACUUUAAGUCAGUGGUGAAAUCUUGCGGCUUAACCGUAAAAUUGCCAUUGAAACUGAAGUUCUUGAGUUCAGUUGAGGUAGGCGGAAUGUGUUAUGUAGCGGUGAAAUGCUUAGAUAUAACACAGAACACCAAUUGCGUAGGCAGCUUACUAAACUGUUACUGACGCUGAGGCACGAAAGCGUGGGGAGCGAACAGGAUUAGAUACCCUGGUAGUCCACGCCGUAAACUAUGAUCACUCGUUGUUGGCAAUACAUCGUCAGCGACUGAGCGAAAGCAUUAAGUGAUCCACCUGGGGAGUACGAUCGCAAGGUUGAAACUCAAAGGAAUUGACGGGGGCCCGCACAAGCGGAGGAACAUGUGGUUUAAUUCGAUGAUACGCGAGGAACCUUACCUGGGCUUAAAUGCAGGGCGACGGAUACCGAAAGGUAUCUUUCUUCGGACGACUUGCAAGGUGCUGCAUGGUUGUCGUCAGCUCGUGCCGUGAGGUGUCGGGUUAAGUCCCAUAACGAGCGCAACCCCUAUCGUUAGUUGCCAGCGGAUAAUGCCGGGGACUCUAACGAAACUGCCGGUGUAAACCGUGAGGAAGGUGGGGAUGACGUCAAAUCAGCACGGCCCUUAUGUCCAGGGCUACACACGUGUUACAAUGGCCGAUACAAAGGGCAGCUACUAGGCAACUAGAUGCUAAUCUCUAAAGUCGGUCUCAGUUCGGAUCGAAGUCUGCAACUCGACUUCGUGAAGGUGGAUUCGCUAGUAAUCGCGCAUCAGCCAUGGCGCGGUGAAUACGUUCCCGGGCCUUGUACACACCGCCCGUCAAGCCAUGGAAGUUUGGGGUACCUAAAGUCCGUAACCGUAAGGAGCGGCCUAGGGUAAAACAGAUGACUGGGGCUAAGUCGAAACAAGGUA
RNAcentral lists this ribosomal RNA (1475 nucleotides) under metagenome. RNAcentral's name for it is "bacterial SSU rRNA". It matches the Rfam family "Bacterial small subunit ribosomal RNA". The record is from RNAcentral.